GGGACACGUGGUAUCCUGUCUGAAUAUGGGGGGACCAUCCUCCAAGGCUAAAUACUCCUGACUGACCGAUAGUGAACCAGUACCGUGAGGGAAAGGCGAAAAGAACCCCGGCGAGGGGAGUGAAAAAGAACCUGAAACCGUGUACGUACAAGCAGUGGGAGCACGCUUAGGCGUGUGACUGCGUACCUUUUGUAUAAUGGGUCAGCGACUUAUAUUCUGUAGCAAGGUUAACCGAAUAGGGGAGCCGAAGGGAAACCGAGUCUUAACUGGGCGUUAAGUUGCAGGGUAUAGACCCGAAACCCGGUGAUCUAGCCAUGGGCAGGUUGAAGGUUGGGUAACACUAACUGGAGGACCGAACCGACUAAUGUUGAAAAAUUAGCGGAUGACUUGUGGCUGGGGGUGAAAGGCCAAUCAAACCGGGAGAUAGCUGGUUCUCCCCGAAAGCUAUUUAGGUAGCGCCUCGUGAAUUCAUCUCCGGGGGUAGAGCACUGUUUCGGCAAGGGGGUCAUCCCGACUUACCAACCCGAUGCAAACUGCGAAUACCGGAGAAUGUUAUCACGGGAGACACACGGCGGGUGCUAACGUCCGUCGUGAAGAGGGAAACAACCCAGACCGCCAGCUAAGGUCCCAAAGUCAUGGUUAAGUGGGAAACGAUGUGGGAAGGCCCAGACAGCCAGGAUGUUGGCUUAGAAGCAGCCAUCAUUUAAAGAAAGCGUAAUAGCUCACUGGUCGAGUCGGCCUGCGCGGAAGAUGUAACGGGGCUAAACCAUGCACCGAAGCUGCGGCAGCGACGCUUAUGCGUUGUUGGGUAGGGGAGCGUUCUGUAAGCCUGCGAAGGUGUGCUGUGAGGCAUGCUGGAGGUAUCAGAAGUGCGAAUGCUGACAUAAGUAACGAUAAAGCGGGUGAAAAGCCCGCUCGCCGGAAGACCAAGGGUUCCUGUCCAACGUUAAUCGGGGCAGGGUGAGUCGACCCCUAAGGCGAGGCCGAAAGGCGUAGUCGAUGGGAAACAGGUUAAUAUUCCUGUACUUGGUGUUACUGCGAAGGGGGGACGGAGAAGGCUAUGUUGGCCGGGCGACGGUUGUCCCGGUUUAAGCGUGUAGGCUGGUUUUCCAGGCAAAUCCGGAAAAUCAAGGCUGAGGCGUGAUGACGAGGCACUACGGUGCUGAAGCAACAAAUGCCCUGCUUCCAGGAAAAGCCUCUAAGCAUCAGGUAACAUCAAAUCGUACCCCAAACCGACACAGGUG
RNAcentral lists this ribosomal RNA (1244 nucleotides) under Escherichia coli. RNAcentral's name for it is "partial 23S ribosomal RNA". It matches the Rfam family "Bacterial large subunit ribosomal RNA", at positions 419 to 1665 of the family's 2925-position model. Lineage: Bacteria; Pseudomonadati; Pseudomonadota; Gammaproteobacteria; Enterobacterales; Enterobacteriaceae. The record is from RNAcentral.